ACAAGCGGAGGAGCAUGUGGUUUAAUUCGAUGAUACGCGAGGAACCUUACCUGGGCUCGAACGUAAGAUGACUGUAGGUGAAAGCUUACAUCUCUUCGGAGCAUUUUACGAGGUGCUGCAUGGUUGUCGUCAGCUCGUGCCGUGAGGUGUCGGGUUAAGUCCCAUAACGAGCGCAACCCUACCUUUAGUUGCCAUCAGGUAAUGCUGGGGACUCUAAAGGAACUGCCUACGCAAGUAGUGAGGAAGCGGGGAUGACGUCAAAUCAGCACGGCCCUUACGUCCAGGGCUACACACGUGCUACAAUGGCCGAUACAGAGGGCAGCUACCUGGUGGCAGGAUGCAAAUCUCCAAAGUCGGUCUCAGUUCGGAUCGGAGUCUGCAACCCGACUCCGUGAAGUUGGAUUCGCUAGUAAUCGCGCAUCAGCCAUGGCGCGGUGAAUACGUUCCCGGGCCUU
This 455-nucleotide ribosomal RNA is filed under the name uncultured Sphingobacteriales bacterium. RNAcentral's name for it is "bacterial SSU rRNA". It matches the Rfam family "Bacterial small subunit ribosomal RNA", at positions 925 to 1382 of the family's 1533-position model. Lineage: Bacteria; Pseudomonadati; Bacteroidota; Sphingobacteriia; Sphingobacteriales. The record is from RNAcentral.